This 277-nucleotide ribosomal RNA is filed under the name uncultured prokaryote. RNAcentral's name for it is "partial 16S ribosomal RNA". It matches the Rfam family "Bacterial small subunit ribosomal RNA", at positions 524 to 800 of the family's 1533-position model. The record is from RNAcentral.
CACGUAGGAGGCAAACGUUAUCCGGAUUUACUGGGCGUAAAGCGCGUGUAGGUGGUUCUGUAAGUAGGGCGUGAAAGCUCCCGGCUCAACUGGGAGAGGCCGUUCUAAACUGCAGAGCUAGAGGAUGGUAGAGGGAGGUGGAAUUCCAGGUGUAGCGGUGGAAUGCGCAGAUAUCUGGAGGAACACCAGUGGCGAAGGCGGCCUCCUGGACCAUUCCUGACACUCAGACGCGAAAGCUAGGGUAGCAAACGGGAUUAGAUACCCGUGUAGUCCCUGA